This is a long non-coding RNA of Octopus sinensis (East Asian common octopus), 623 nucleotides long. RefSeq lists it as uncharacterized. The record is from RefSeq and is a predicted model, not a curated record. The transcript has 3 exons. NCBI's taxonomy places the organism in Eukaryota, Metazoa, Mollusca, Cephalopoda, Octopoda, Octopodidae.
GGCUUGAUUUAUAUUUAAAAUCUCGAACAAGUCUUCCACUAAAUUUUAAUCCUUGCAUUGGAUUUACUGCAAAAAAUUCAAAUCCCUCGAAAUACCAAAACGUUUAAACAUUCGUUAAUUUCCAAAGUUAAUCACAGCCACAAAUAUAAUCAUCGCUUCUCUAAAAUUUAAAGAAUUCCUGGAAAGCAACGUUUUAUAUCCCGACGUAUUUUUUGGAAAAAGUCCUUCACCAAAAAAUAAUUUGACAUACAAAUAUGCAAUGAAUCUAUGUCCUUCUGCAUUUAGAACAUAUGCUUCUUAUCUAUUUUCUGCUUAUCCCUUGGAUAUGAGUCAAUAUGAUAAAUUAUUUUCCACCAAUCGGAUUCCAGGAAUUGGUAUUGAUAGUCUUGUCACAUGUAAAGACUCGUCGGAAAUUUUGGUCGUGUAUAAUGGCCACUUUUAUUCCUUGAAAGUAUUAGAUAAAUCCACAAAUGGUGAUUGGGAAUAUUAUUUUUAGAGCCUUAUUCCGAAUAUAACAUUUUCAAUGCAUUAAAAAUGAUUUAUAACGAUCCAAAAGCACAAAUAAUAAACUAUCACUCACCUGGAUAUUUCACAACUCUACCAAGAGAUGAGUGGGCUUUGGC